UUCCUUUCAGGGUUGCACAUGGAGAGUUUCCAGUACUCUACCAGUCUCAACUACAGAAGAGUCAAGCAGAGGCGUACCCAUUCCAUUCCUAGCUUGACCAGUGGCUAGCAAGUGGAAGGCAAUCUGCUACAAAU
This is a small nucleolar RNA of Tachyglossus aculeatus (Australian echidna), 134 nucleotides long. Lineage: Eukaryota; Metazoa; Chordata; Mammalia; Monotremata; Tachyglossidae. The record is from RefSeq and is a predicted model, not a curated record.